UACGUAGGGUCCGAGCGUUGUCCGGAAUUAUUGGGCGUAAAGAGCUCGUAGGCGGUUUGUUGCGUCGGCUGUGAAAUCCCGAGGCUCAACCUCGGGUCUGCAGUCGAUACGAGCAAACUAGAGUGUUGCAGGGGAGACUGGAAUUCCUGGUGUAGCGGUGAAAUGCGCAGAUAUCAGGAGGAACACCGGUGGCGAAGGCGGGUCUCUGGGCAACAACUGACGCUGAGGAGCGAAAGCGUGGGGAGCGAACAGG
RNAcentral lists this ribosomal RNA (253 nucleotides) under uncultured bacterium. Its description in RNAcentral is "partial 16S ribosomal RNA". It matches the Rfam family "Bacterial small subunit ribosomal RNA", at positions 524 to 776 of the family's 1533-position model. The record is from RNAcentral.